UACGUAGGGUGCGAGCGUUGUCCGGAAUUAUUGGGCGUAAAGGGCUCGUAGGCGGUUUGUCGCGUCUGCUGUGAAAACCCGAGGCUCAACCUCGGGCCUGCAGUGGGUACGGGCAGACUAGAGUGCGGUAGGGGAGAUUGGAAUUCCUGGUGUAGCGGUGGAAUGCGCAGAUAUCAGGAGGAACACCGAUGGCGAAGGCAGAUCUCUGGGCCGUAACUGACGCUGAGGAGCGAAAGCGUGGGGAGCAAACAGG
This 253-nucleotide ribosomal RNA is filed under the name uncultured bacterium. RNAcentral's name for it is "partial 16S ribosomal RNA". It matches the Rfam family "Bacterial small subunit ribosomal RNA", at positions 524 to 776 of the family's 1533-position model. The record is from RNAcentral.